This is a long non-coding RNA of Chiroxiphia lanceolata (lance-tailed manakin), 6399 nucleotides long. RefSeq lists it as uncharacterized. The transcript is spliced from 3 exons. The record is from RefSeq and is a predicted model, not a curated record. Lineage: Eukaryota; Metazoa; Chordata; Aves; Passeriformes; Pipridae.
UGGGGGGGAGUGUCGGUGAUGGCUGAAAUUUGGAUGUGAUGAGGUCUGAGAGGUGCAGCUUAGCCCUGAAGGCCCACUGGUGUGGGGUUAACUCUUGCUGCUCUGAGUUGAUAGAGCUCAUUCCCAACGUGGGUUUGGUGCCAACCAGGAUUUUCCAAUGCUGAGCCACGUCUGGCAGUUGGCAUUGACAGACAGGAAUUGGGGGGUUGGAUGCAGCAAACCUCAUUUUGAGGGUGAGAUAAUUGAACACACUGACCCAGGCACUCUGGGUGAUGUGAUGGACAACACCAGCCUUCAUUUUAUGGUUCUGCCUUGCUGAUCCACACUUUCUGUGGUGCUUGGGUCUAAAAAAGAGGCUAAAAAACAGUGCAAGAGACCUUCAAUUUUUAGAUUACGGAUCUUUUGGAGAAACUUGGAGAUGGCUCAUAGCAGAGCAACAUCACUAAAAUAAUGAGGAUUUAUUCACAAGACCUGUUGUGUUUUUAAAUCCCAGACCUUUGGUUCAGACUGAACUAUACGUAAUAUUUAUUUGCUAUUGCUUGUCCCAGAGCUGUUCUGAACUGGAGGGAGCAAUUUUAGCAUGGUGAUCAUUCUGGUUGUGCUUAGAUAUUAGUGCUACAGUUCCUAAUCUCGUGAUUCCCCUCUGCUCAUCUGAAAUGGCUUGGACUUUUCUGGAGUCAUAGUUUUGCUCCACCUUUCCUAGGGAAACCCACAGCCUGUUUGGAGGGUACAGGAACUGCUGAACCUCUGGAUCCUGGGUAGGAUUUCAGAUUUCACAAGGAACAAUGAGGUAAAACCGGGCAAACUCACACAGGGGAAGAAAAACAUUGCCCUUACAUGGCUGAGGUCAGGGAAGAGCAGUAGGGAAGUACAGCCAUGAAAACUCAUCAAAUUUAGCCCUACACAGCUUGACUGAGCAGCACAUUGCAAAACUAACUACACUCAAAGAAACGAUCCUCCUAAGGAGCUGAAACCAGAAAAGCCAUUUUCUAUUCCGAACUUCUGUACCUAAGCAUCACCUCAGAAUAUAAAGUAUUGAUUGCAGGGCUUGAGAGCAGUCACAGGGAGAUGAUUGCUGUGAUUUGUAUAGUCAGUUCAGGAACAUGGUGUUCCCCCGAGGCCACCAUUCCAGCUCCUUUAGGUAAUGUCAAGGGAAGUCAUAUUUUUCUUUUGUGUUGUUCAAGAAACAAAAGAAUGUCCUGUGCCCAGUGAGGAGCAUAAGGAGACAAAUACUGCCAGAUGUUCACUGAAGUAUAACCUGCCUUUAAACCAGAUAUUUGAAAACAAGCCUUUAGUUUAACGCUAUCUGCAGUAGAAAGACCUGGCAAAACAUCCAGAGAAAAGCAUUGACCAAACCCUACUGACUCCCCCAAGCUGCUGGUUUGUACCUGUUCCCAGGAUUUCCAGCACUCUAUCACUGAAAUAUCACUGUUAUGUUUGAGAAUAUUUAAGAAACAUUUGAGCUCUACAGCCAAAUCCAAACCCUGUGGCUGCUGCUGGACUUCUGUGCACCACCAUGAGUGUUUGUGUGGGGAGCUGAAGAGAUGUGCUCAACUCAGAAAUAGCUCUAUUCCUUGGAAAGCUGGAGGGCUGAAUCACACUGUGUUGGCUCAGUUUUUAGCAGACAAGCCAUCACAUAUGCCUCCCUGUAGGCGCAGAGUCGUCACUGGCAUCAGGAUUAGCAGCCAGGUUUUUACCUUUGGAAACCAGGGAAUAAUGAUGCAGAAGGCGAAGGCUGAUUGUAAGGAGGCCGCCCAGGGCUGGGGGCUUGGGGAGGUGGGUUGGCAACACUGGGAGCAGGAAGGGUCUGCUCAUGUCCCUGCUUGGCCUGCUCUGCUCCCUCUGUUCAAAAGGAGCCAGCUAACGUGCCCCCAAAUUGAACUUUGGGGACUGAAUAAGUUAUUUUGCUCAGAGGCAUUAACCACUCCACUGCUGCCUGUGAAGCUGAGACAAGUAGAGCCAGCCCUAAGCAUAUCCACGGCUGAUGUUGUCCUGAGUCCACUGAAAAUACGAGUGACAAACAGUGGAGGAAUAGGAACACUGGAGAAAAAUGUGGAAAGCUGGGAGGGGACAAGACAGCUCCUGAGCUGAGGCCCCUGAACCUGAAAGCACCAGAGAGACACCACUGGCUUGACAGACACUGGGGAACUUAGAGAGCCUGCAGAGUCCACCUGCUAACGAGCACAGAAAUGCAAAUAUACACAGACACUUUUUUUUUUCUGGAACAGAGUGUAUCUCCUUAAACACACGCCACUGCUGAUUCCCAGCAGUCCAGAGGAAGUCUUGGGGGAAAAGGGGAUGAGGGAACUAGUGCAAAGUUUUUGAAGUCUUGGAGGAAAGGUGGAUGAGGGAACUAAUGCAAAGUUUUUGCAGUUAGCACUAGAAGCAAAUUACAGAUAUGGAUUUUAAAAUGCUUCAGAGACACGGGAUUUUUUUUGGAGCUACAGUUUUGGACUCAGUAGUCCACUACUGCAGUAAUGCUAAUUAUCAAGCCUCCCGUUCAAGUUCAGGAUUCAAGCACUGCCACAGAUGCAAGAAAAGUGGAUUGGGAGUUCCUGAACCAACUGGUUGCUGACCAUGAGUCAGGGGAAUGACCUUGCAGCAGGCAGCUCGCUGUGCCGCUCUCGGAGCCGUGCCAGUAUAAACGGCGCUGGCAUCUCUGAGUGCUGGUGGAACCAUUUUGUGAGAUUGAGAUUCCCACUUGGCCUUUCCUGCUGCUGCCUUUGCACUGAAACGUUUGGGUGGGUGAGAAUGGGCCAGAGUGGUCCCUUCUCAUUUUUGUGACGAGGGCAUCUUCACAACCUGGGCUUGGGACCGUCUGUAUCUAUAGGCAGAUGUAUAGAGGAUAUGGACAACCAUCUCUUGCCUACGUACUUGUCCAUUAACAUCAGCAUUACAGAUAUUUACCAAAUUAAAUCUUACCCUCCCCCACAGCCACACCCAUAUUAAACUGUAAGAAAACACCGUGAUUAAGUUUUAAAAAACAUACACAGAACCACUGAAUUUUCUGGAUGUGAUUUGUAAGAGGAGCAAGGGUAGAAUACUUGGCAUUUGGUCAUUUUAAUUAAUCUUCCCAAAUAAGAAAAACAUUUGCUUGUAGACUUUAAGCUUCUCACAGCAUCAGGAAAGCUCCUGACACCGAGCCCAACGCUGUAUUUGUAUAACAUGGAAAUGAACAGCAGCAGCAGCAGCAGCAGAGCUGCAGGCUCCGAGUCUACUCUGCGAGCAACAAAAUGGCCAGGGGUGCUGUUGUGUUCAUCCGAAUUCCUUCGCCAUUUGGGGCUGUGAAAUAGGUGGAUCCAGUACCCCUGACUCUUCAGGUAUGGUUUGAACCUCUAACAGCAAUACUAAAUUAAUGUUUCUAACCAUAUUCAAGCUUGUGCCCUCAUCAGCCCGACUCCCUAAAGCACAGGCAGGAACCAACAGCAAAAUUCGUCUGCGUCACAGAUGUAACAUGACCAUCGGCAAAACAAGUGCAGGGGGGAGAUCGUGGCUGUCUCGUCACUCACAGAGCCUUCCUCCACUAGCAAAGAAUAGGGUGGUGAUGCUUUUAGGUUUAUAUCGUGAGCAUUUGCAAUCCUGAACUUCCUCGCCCGAAUUUUGCGGCCCUUGGAACGGUCAGAACGCCCGAGAAAAUCGCGUGUGUUUUGUCAGCGAGGGCCGGCGCGUUAACGAACGCUGCGUCAGUGCUGCACCAGGGCCCAGACACGGAGCAAACCCCACUGCCCAGAGCAAGGAAACCCAGACUCGGAAAAAUGAAUCAGCUUUACACAACGGCACACGCACAAGUGUCAGAGGGAGGAAGAAAUCACAGCUUUCCCAAGUCCUUUUGAGGCAAUAUGCAGAAAAUGAUUAUGGAACAGUUAAACCACGUACAGCUCGCAGUGACGGUGCCACCCCUGUGCACACAAUCGCUGCUGUCCUACAGAAAUAUGCCAUGUCCCCUUCUUAGCCUUGUUUCUUGCCAGUCCCACAGAUUUACCUGCUGACAGUAACCUCAAUUCCUGAGUAAUGAGAUUUACAGCUGAAGUUUAACAUUGAAAUAACUCCUCGUUUAUCUGUGUCUCCUUACCCUUCCCUGUGUUCAGUCUCAGUUAAACUAAUUGUGGCAAAAAGAUGGUGGCAAAGGGAAUUAAAUCAGAUACAUCCUUGCAACUGAACACUGAACCAGCUGCCCCUGGCACCUCCUUUAAAGCACUGAGAAAUGUCAUGAAGCAGCACUAGCUUUACAAAUUACGGGGUCCUCCACCCCACAACUGUGACGGGAAAACCACAAAGAGUUGUCCAUGCAGCCAACGCUCAGGAAAAGAGACUCAACCCACCCGUCUUCCACACAACCGAGCAAUCGGGGCUUAGUCCAGCUCCCGGCUGUACAGAAUUCCCUCCACAGCUGCCUCGGACUGUUCCUGCAUGUGUGUGUAUUUAUGCCUGUCUGUCUCGCUGCAGGGACCACCGUCGUCGCUGCUAUUCCUGUUGUUCCCCUGCUCUGCGGAUCUGGCGCUGCAGGAGGCAAGGAUGCUCCAAGGGAGCCAGCUACAGCCAGCGAAGGCUCAGUGAGUCAGGAGGGGUUGUGACGACUGCAGCAAGAGUCUGAAAUUCCCUAUGGAAUCUGGCAGAAGAGGAGGGGAAGGAAGAAAGGUGGAGAUGGGAAAGAGGGGAAGAAAAGUGGGGAGUGGCACGUACUGCCUGUCCUGUUCUUCCCUCCCCGUUCCUACCACCGCAGUGCCGUUGGAAAUGGCGUCCUCCCCUCCGCGGAACUGCGCAAACGGACGGAAUCCACGAGAAAACCGCAGCGCCUGCGGCCUGUGCCACCAAACCCCCAAAACUCGGUCGGGGUGAGGGUAUGGUGCAAGUGGAGCCCUUCUCUCUUUCCCUCAGAGCACCGUGCAGGGGACAGGCUACAGCUGAAGUGAUGGAGACGGCGGACGCGCUGUGUCUGAGCCGGUUCCAAGCCCAGCGGUUGUUGCUAAACAACCAGCCCUGACGCUUGAGAUGUCAACGAGUGCAAUUCCUGCCCCAAGCCAUUACAGUCCUGCUAACACUCAACCACCGUAUAAGGGAGAAGAAGGCAAGGAGAAAAGCCCUGAAGCCCAGCGCUUUCCCCUCCACCGUGGGUUGCAGCUCUGACACGUCAUCAUCGCGACCGGACGGCGGAACGACACCUCAGGGAGCACCCCUGGAUGUGAGGGCUGGCGCCCACCACCCCGAGGAGUUACCGGCUCCUGUCUGCCCGUGCCCGAGGGACACCUGGAAUCCCGGGAUAUGAGCUGGUGUGGAAGCGUCUGGAAGGCACCGUCUACCUGUCCCCCCCAGUGCUUUUAAAAACUGGACGACAUGCCCUGCAAUGAUCACUGCGUCACCGUUUGCCACUUUCCGAACUACGCAGUGACAAACCUCCGAGCUGGGAAUCGCAGGGCGCCUGUUAACCCCUCCACCAAACCCUCGCCAGCAUGCCAGCCCUCAGGGAGACGGGGGAGAAUAAAAAGCCCAAACAAACCAGGCAAACAGCAGUCUUUGCAAAGUUGUCAUCUCUCCCCCACGACUACUACCCUCCUCUGCAGUACAGCAAUGCCGGCAGGAGUGACAUUAGUGCAACCUGUGCCAUCGUUCCAUUGAGAAAACAGCUCUGACGCAGAACAGAGCAACCCUACCCAGCCAAAAUAAUAACACAGGCACUUCGGGACCCGAACUUAGGGACGCCGGGGGAGAGGGACGCCCUGCAAACAAAUAAAAUCCGUGGCUGCAGCUCCAGCCCCAUCCUGAUCAAAGGGUACGUACGUGAGAGAGGCGAACUGGACCGAAGAGCUGUGCCCGUGCACCAUCUGCGCAGUCCUCAGCCCUCCGCUCGCUGUGGAGCGCCGCAGAAUAGAAGGUUCCAGAAAUUUCCUUUCCGUUAACCCUUUCGGUGUCUGCCCACUCUCCCUCCCCGCGGGAUUAAGCGCGCCGGGUCUCCAGCAUCGUCAAUGGGCGAAGCCUCCUACGCCAACCGAGCCCAAGUACGACGUCUAAAUGGCAGUGGAUGGUGGCAGGAGCCCAGCCCGAGGUGUUGGUGAUACUUCUCUUUCUGGAGCCCUCUCUGCCUCUCUUGCUGCCUCUCUCCCCUCUUGCUGCAGCAGGGCUGUUGCUGGUAGACCUAUCGACGGAGCUUGCUCUCUCACUCUCUCGCUGAGCUCUGUGACGCAGCUCUAAAUUCUCCAGCCUGCUCCCUGUGUUAUAAGAGCGGAACUGCAGCUUUCCAGGGAGCCCGUGCCAGCGGUGCCAGGGCCAGGCAGACCGGAGGGAGCGUCGCUCCUGGACUCUGCACCUUUUUUUGGCAAUUAUUCUGUUGCUCACCUCUGUUUCUGUGCUGCCUCCACGGCUCUCAGCCUCGCAUCUCCUUCUCUGCUUCUGAGUCAUACU